RNAcentral lists this ribosomal RNA (787 nucleotides) under Bacillus sp. 9-1(2010). Its description in RNAcentral is "bacterial SSU rRNA". It matches the Rfam family "Bacterial small subunit ribosomal RNA", at positions 56 to 825 of the family's 1533-position model. The record is from RNAcentral. Lineage: Bacteria; Bacillati; Bacillota; Bacilli; Caryophanales; Bacillaceae.
UGCAAGUCGAGCGGACAGAUGGGAGCUUGCUCCCUGAUGUUAGCGGCGGACGGGUGAGUAACACGUGGGUAACCUGCCUGUAAGACUGGGAUAACUCCGGGAAACCGGGGCUAAUACCGGAUGCUUGUUUGAACCGCAUGGUUCAAACAUAAAAGGUGGCUUCGGCUACCACUUACAGAUGGACCCGCGGCGCAUUAGCUAGUUGGUGAGGUAAUGGCUCACCAAGGCAACGAUGCGUAGCCGACCUGAGAGGGUGAUCGGCCACACUGGGACUGAGACACGGCCCAGACUCCUACGGGAGGCAGCAGUAGGGAAUCUUCCGCAAUGGACGAAAGUCUGACGGAGCAACGCCGCGUGAGUGAUGAAGGUUUUCGGAUCGUAAAGCUCUGUUGUUAGGGAAGAACAAGUACCGUUCGAAUAGGGCGGUACCUUGACGGUACCUAACCAGAAAGCCACGGCUAACUACGUGCCAGCAGCCGCGGUAAUACGUAGGUGGCAAGCGUUGUCCGGAAUUAUUGGGCGUAAAGGGCUCGCAGGCGGUUCCUUAAGUCUGAUGUGAAAGCCCCCGGCUCAACCGGGGAGGGUCAUUGGAAACUGGGGAACUUGAGUGCAGAAGAGGAGAGUGGAAUUCCACGUGUAGCGGUGAAAUGCGUAGAGAUGUGGAGGAACACCAGUGGCGAAGGCGACUCUCUGGUCUGUAACUGACGCUGAGGAGCGAAAGCGUGGGGAGCGAACAGGAUUAGAUACCCUGGUAGUCCACGCCGUAAACGAUGAGUGCUAAGUGUUA